RNAcentral lists this long non-coding RNA (290 nucleotides) under Crocodylus porosus (Australian saltwater crocodile). RNAcentral's name for it is "lncRNA (ENSCPRG00005012415.1)". Lineage: Eukaryota; Metazoa; Chordata; Crocodylia; Crocodylidae. The record is from RNAcentral.
AGGAUUUUGCUGCAAAAACCCGACCCUAGCACCGGGACCUCUACAGCUCCAAAAAUGGAUGAAGUAGUAAAGGGCUGCAGCCACCAAGGAUAUUCAGCUGCAGUCUCUAGACCUUAAUCGCAUCAUCAAGCUGCUUGAAGAUCCAAACUCAGCAAAAGUAAGCUAGUCAACCUUGAGCUUCAGUGAUUAGGACUACAAGCUAUGGAACUGGAAGAAUUACCCUGGUAGAAUUACAGAAUAAGACUUUCUUUAAACGUCUUUUUGCUGUAAGGAAGUAAAUGUGCCCAUAA